UCAGAUGGUUGGAUGAUCGCUUUUUAAGAGAGGAAAGUCCGGGCUCCACGAGACACGGUGCCGGGUAACUCCCGGCGAGGGUGACCUUAGGGAAAGUGCCACAGAAAAUAAACCGCCUUUAUGGUAAGGGUGAAAAGGUGCGGUAAGAGCGCACCGCGUAUAUGGUAACAUGUAUGGCAGGGUAAACCCCACCGGGAGCAAGACCAAAUAGGAAUAACGCUGGUUAUACCAGGAAUUUCUCGUUCUAGUUAUUCGGGUAGGUUGCUAGAGAUAUGCGGUAACGUAUAUUCCAGAUGAAUGGUCAUCACCUUUAACAAGGACAGAACCCGGCUUAUAGACCAUCUGACAAU
This 350-nucleotide RNase P RNA is filed under the name Hyphomicrobiales bacterium. RNAcentral's name for it is "RNase P RNA component class A". It matches the Rfam family "Bacterial RNase P class A". Rfam says of the family: Ribonuclease P (RNase P) is a ubiquitous endoribonuclease, found in archaea, bacteria and eukarya as well as chloroplasts and mitochondria. Its best characterised activity is the generation of mature 5'-ends of tRNAs by cleaving the 5'-leader elements of precursor-tRNAs. Cellular RNase Ps are ribonucleoproteins. Lineage: Bacteria; Pseudomonadati; Pseudomonadota; Alphaproteobacteria; Hyphomicrobiales. The record is from RNAcentral.